GAUGAACGCUGGCGGCGUGCUUAAUACAUGCAAGUCGAACGAACAGGCGAUGAUCUUGCGGCGCGCACGAGUGCCGAAGGGGUGAGUAAAACGCGUGUAAAACGUACCUGUAAUAGGGAUAUCUCUAGGAAACACGGGCUCAUAUAGGAUAGGAGAUAUUGCAGCACGGUGGGGGAUGGUAAGAUUCGGCGGUUGGGGAUGGUUUAGCGGCUUACCAGCUUGGUGGUGGGGUAGUGGCUUACCAAGGCUUUGACGGGUAGCCGGCCUGAGAGCGUGACCGGCCUCAAGAGGACUGAGAUACGGCCCAGUCGCCAACGGGACGCAGCGGUGGGGAAUAUGGCGCAGUAGGCGGAAGCCUGAGACGGCAACGCCGCGUGCGUAAUGACGGCCUUCUAGUUAUGAACCACUGUCUCCGGUGACGAAGCGGGAGUGACGGUAAUGAGUAAGAAAGCACCGGCUAACUACGUG
This 468-nucleotide ribosomal RNA is filed under the name uncultured bacterium. RNAcentral describes it as "partial 16S ribosomal RNA". It matches the Rfam family "Bacterial small subunit ribosomal RNA", at positions 28 to 507 of the family's 1533-position model. The record is from RNAcentral.